ACGAACGCUGGCGGCGUGCUUCACCCAUGCAAGUCGCACGGAAAGGCCCUGCUUUUGUGGGGUGCUCGAGUGGCGAACGGGUGAGUAACACGUGAGUAACCUGCCCGUGACUUUGGGAUAACUUCAGGAAACUGGGGCUAAUACCGGAUAGGAGCUCCUGCUGCAUGGUGGGGGUUGGAAAGUUUCGGCGGUUGGGGAUGGACUCGCGGCUUAUCAGCUUGUUGGUGGGGUAGUGGCUUACCAAGGCUUUGACGGGUAGCCGGCCUGAGAGGGUGACCGGCCACAUUGGGACUGAGAUACGGCCCAGACUCCUACGGGAGGCAGCAGUGGGGAAUAUUGCACAAUGGGCGGAAGCCUGAUGCAGCAACGCCGCGUGCGGGAUGACGGCCUUCGGGUUGUAAACCGCUUUCGCCUGUGACGAAGCGUGAGUGACGGUAAUGGGUAAAGAAGCACCGGCUAACUACGUG
RNAcentral lists this ribosomal RNA (467 nucleotides) under uncultured bacterium. Its description in RNAcentral is "partial 16S ribosomal RNA". It matches the Rfam family "Bacterial small subunit ribosomal RNA", at positions 29 to 507 of the family's 1533-position model. The record is from RNAcentral.